Molecule: long non-coding RNA, 436 nt
Organism: Ictalurus punctatus (channel catfish)
Lineage: Eukaryota; Metazoa; Chordata; Actinopteri; Siluriformes; Ictaluridae
Source: Ensembl
AUUUUUCCGAGCCUUCAGGACAGAAGCUGAUGAGGGAAUGUUUAUAGCUGCUAUAACAAAGACACAAAAGUGACACAUUCGGGGCCCCUGUAAUGGCACGUACCAUUUCCUACCUUACUUUCAAAAACAACUGAACAGUAAACAGAACUUUUAAUAAACAGCAGCUCCUUGGCAUGUAGCAUCACGUGUCAGGCUGUAAGUUUCCACAGUGCCACUCCUGAUUGCCGUGGAUAUGAUGGCUGCAGGUUGAUGAUCGUGGUCUGAAGGAUGGGAUGAGAUGAGUCCUUGAAGGCCACGACAUCGUGGGUGGCAGAAACCGGUUUAUUUCUAAACAUCACAUCCAGGUCUCUAAUCUCAUCCUAACUGCAUGACGGCGAAGAUGGUCAGAAUUACCAGUCCUUGCUAGUAAGCAAUACUUCGUUACACUGAAACCGUU